CAGCUGCCCUUGACGAUGAAGUCAUAGAUGGCAAAGUGCAGGGAUGGCGUGGGCUGGGGGGUCUGGGGGGCCGGGAGGCAGGGGCAGCCCUGCCGCUCCAGCAGCCGCACUCGCAGGUUGGUGAUCUUCAGCUGUGCCUGGGCUUCCACACUGUAAGGGUCCUCCGCGGCGUAAGGUGGUGACAGGGCUCGGAAUAUCACCUGGGCAGAGAAACACAGCAGGUAUUUGAGCAUCUUCUGCCAGAAAGACUCAGAUAUGGGAGAAGGUUAACCAGGAGAGGUGGUCAGAGGACAAGGCUGGUGAGCAGCACAUCCCUUGUGCAGAAGUGUUGAGUCUGAUGAGGGGUAUUAAUAAACAGUAACACACUUCAAAAGA
Molecule: long non-coding RNA, 375 nt
Organism: Pipra filicauda (Wire-tailed manakin)
Lineage: Eukaryota; Metazoa; Chordata; Aves; Passeriformes; Pipridae
Exons: 2
Source: RefSeq, a predicted model, not a curated record